AACGAACGCUGGCGGCAUGCCUAACACAUGCAAGUCGAACGAGACCUUCGGGUCUAGUGGCGCACGGGUGCGUAACGCGUGGGAACCUGCCCUUAGGUUCGGAAUAACUCCCCGAAAGGGGUGCUAAUACCGGAUAAUGUCUUCGGACCAAAGAUUUAUCGCCUUUGGAUGGGCCCGCGUUGGAUUAGCUAGUUGGUAGGGUAAAAGCCUACCAAGGCGACGAUCCAUAGCUGGUCUGAGAGGAUGAUCAGCCACACUGGGACUGAGACACGGCCCAGACUCCUACGGGAGGCAGCAGUGGGGAAUAUAGGACAAUGGGCGAAAGCACGAUCCAGCAAGGCCGCGUGAGUGAUGAAGGCCUUAGGGUUGUAAAGCUCUUUUACCCGGGAUGAUAAUGACAGUACCGGGAGAAUAAGCUCCGGCUAACUCCGUG
RNAcentral lists this ribosomal RNA (433 nucleotides) under uncultured bacterium. RNAcentral's name for it is "partial 16S ribosomal RNA". It matches the Rfam family "Bacterial small subunit ribosomal RNA", at positions 29 to 507 of the family's 1533-position model. The record is from RNAcentral.